CUACGGGAUGCUGCAGUGGGGAAUUUUGGACAAUGGGGGCAACCCUGAUCCAGCCAUUCCGCGUGAGUGAAGAAGGCCUUCGGGUUGUAAAGCUCUUUCGCAAGGGAAGAAACGAUACAGUCUAAUAAACUGUGUUAAUGACGGUACCUUGAUAAGAAGCACCGGCUAACUACGUGCCAGCAGCCGCGGUAAUACGUAGGGUGCGAGCGUUAAUCGGAAUUACUGGGCGUAAAGCGUGCGCAGGCGGUUUUGAAAGUCAGAUGUGAAAUCCCCGGGCUCAACCUGGGAACUGCGUUUGAAACUCCAAAGCUAGAGUAUGGGAGAGGGGGGUAGAAUUCCACGUGUAGCAGUGAAAUGCGUAGAGAUGUGGAGGAAUACCAAUGGCGAAGGCAGCCCCCUGGCUUAAUACUGACGCUCAUGCACGAAAGCGUGGGGAGCAAACAGGAUUAGAUACCCUGGUAGUC
This 464-nucleotide ribosomal RNA is filed under the name uncultured bacterium. RNAcentral describes it as "partial 16S ribosomal RNA". It matches the Rfam family "Bacterial small subunit ribosomal RNA", at positions 339 to 795 of the family's 1533-position model. The record is from RNAcentral.